AUUGAACGCUGGCGGCAUGCUUUACACAUGCAAGUCGAACGGUAACAGGUUAAGCUGACGAGUGGCGAACGGGUGAGUAAUGCAUCGGAACGUGCCCGGUCGUGGGGGAUAACGCAGCGAAAGCUGCGCUAAUACCGCAUACGAUCUAAGGAUGAAAGCGGGGGACCGUAAGGCCUCGCGCGAUCGGAGCGGCCGAUGUCAGAUUAGGUAGUUGGUGGGGUAAAGGCUCACAAAGCCAACGAUCUGUAGCUGGUCUGAGAGGACGACCAGCCACACGGGGCCGGGGACACGGCCCAGACUCCUACGGGAGGCAGCAGUGGGGAAUUUUGGACAAUGGGCGAAAGCCUGAUCCAGCAAUGCCGCGUGCAGGAAGAAGGCCUUCGGGUUGUAAACUGCUUUUGUACGGAGCGAAAAGGUCUCCUCUAAUACAGGGGGCUCAUGACGGUACCGUAAGAAUAAGCACCGGCUAACUACGUGCCAGCAGCCGCAGUAA
Molecule: ribosomal RNA, 493 nt
Filed under: uncultured bacterium
Lineage: Bacteria
Description: partial 16S ribosomal RNA
Rfam family: Bacterial small subunit ribosomal RNA
Source: RNAcentral